RNAcentral lists this ribosomal RNA (478 nucleotides) under uncultured bacterium. RNAcentral's name for it is "bacterial SSU rRNA". It matches the Rfam family "Bacterial small subunit ribosomal RNA", at positions 29 to 506 of the family's 1533-position model. The record is from RNAcentral.
UUGAACGCUGGCGGCAUGCCUUACACAUGCAAGUCGAACGCGAAAGGGGGCAACCCUGAGUAGAGUGGCGAACGGGUGAGUAAUGCAUCGGAACGUGUCCUGUAGCGGGGGACAACCCCGAGAAAUCGGGGCUAAUACCGCAUACGUCCUACGGGAGAAAGUGGGGACCGCAAGGCCUCACACUAUAGGGGCGGCCGAUGCCGGAUUAGCUAGUUGGUGGGGUAAAAGCUCACCAAGGCAACGAUCCGUAGCUGGUCUGAGAGGAUGAUCAGCCACACUGGGACUGAGACACGGCCCAGACUCCUACGGGAGGCAGCAGUGGGGAAUUUUGGACAAUGGGCGCAAGCCUGAUCCAGCCAUGCCGCGUGAGUGAAGAAGGCCUUCGGGUUGUAAAGCUCUUUCAGACGGAAAGAAAUCGGGCGCGUGAAUAGCGUGCCUGGAUGACGGUACUGUCAGAAGAAGCACCGGCUAACUACGU